Molecule: ribosomal RNA, 421 nt
Filed under: uncultured bacterium
Lineage: Bacteria
Description: partial 16S ribosomal RNA
Rfam family: Bacterial small subunit ribosomal RNA
Source: RNAcentral
AUAUUGGACAAUGGGGGCAACCCUGAUCCAGCCAUGCCGCGUGUGUGAGGAAGGUCUUCGGAUUGUAAAGCACAUUAAGUAGGGAGGAAGGGCUGUAGGCUAAUACCCGGAAGUUUUGACGUUACCAACAGAAUAAUCACCGGCUAACUCUGUGACAGCAGGCGCGGUAAUACAGAGGGUGCAAGCGUUAAUCGGAAUUACUGGGCGUAAAGCGCGCGUAGGUGGUUCAGUAAGAUGGGUGUGAAAUCCCCGGGCUUAACCUGGGAACUGCUUUCAUAACUGCUGAGCUAGAGUACGGUAGAGGGUAGUGGAAAUUCCUGUGUAGCGGUGAAAUGCGUAGAUAUAGGAAGGAACACCAGUGGCGAAGGCGACUACCUGGACUGAUACUGACACUGAGGUGCGAAAGCGUGGGGAGCAAACA